Molecule: long non-coding RNA, 1590 nt
Filed under: Scleropages formosus (Asian bonytongue)
Lineage: Eukaryota; Metazoa; Chordata; Actinopteri; Osteoglossiformes; Osteoglossidae
Description: lncRNA (ENSSFOG00015025685.1)
Source: RNAcentral
AUGGAUAAUUUGAUCGCUGGGCUGCAACGAAAAAUAUGCAAAUAUAUUCCCGCACACAUUAACAGCACCGUCGUGACGGAAAAAAACCGACUGCGCCCAGCUCUCCGUAAAGUCGGUGAGGUUCACGGCAUGAUCAGAUAUGUUAAAAUGAGCAAAGCAACUUGUGCAGAAGGCUGUUUUCUGCUAAAGGGCUCAAGUGGGAACCCAGCUGUGAGCGGGGUUUGUCCUUAUCACCAUGUGGGGGGGCCUUGCCUUCUCAGUGGAUGCCUCUGCCUUAUGGUACGAUGUGCACACUUGAGGAAAUCCCCUCACCCCACCCCAGUGCACGGGACAAGGUGCAAUGUCCUGCUUCCGGCAGCCACGCGCACUUCUCUGUACGGACGCAGCCUCCCCGUAGCCCCGCCGAACAACAGCGCCGUGGCCUUUUUCAGCAUUAACCCGGCUGAGGCACAGCGGGACCCUCACUGGCACAUGAAUCGCCAUAGCCUGACAACGUGGGUUAACACAGCAACAAAUUAUCAGCUUCCAUACAACUGAAACAAAGCGUUCCAGGUCCUCUGAGAGCACGUUUGGAUGCACAAGGUUUGACCUCCUUCAAUCAACAGUUGGACUGGAAAAUUAUAGAUCAUAAAAAUAACAAAGGCCCUUGAUGAAUGAAUGAAUGAAUGAAUGAAUGAAUGAAUGAAUGAAUGAAUGAAACUUUAUUAAUCCUGCAGGGAAUUUCUGUUUGGGUGAAGCAGCAUCCAAUAUGCAACAUACAGUGAUGAAACAGAGAAAAAUGUUAGACAGAUUCGAGGCAAAUGAAUAUGUUAGGUAGAUAAAUAAGCAAAUGUAUUUGCUCAAGAGCAUGCAGAGUGAAGUGAGGUGGUGCAAGGUACAGGGAGGUAGAACAAAGUAGCUUAAAGUUGGAGACGGAACCUGAACCUGAACCUGAACCUUCAUCCCUGGUGGAACAGUUGGUCCAUAGCAAUAAGUUUUACAUCUAUAUUCUGCUGAGAUCUUUCAGUUUCCAGCCUCAUUUUAUUAAACAUCACACACAGGAGAAGUACCAGGAAGGUGUGAAGUUCCUCUAGCCAAGCACAUCAGGCUUCUUCCUCUUUCCUUCACACAGAAGCAGCAAGAGCAUGGUGGACAGGGGGCGGGGGUGAAUGGCGUGGUUGUGCAGUAGCUUGACGUACACAAGAAAAGGUGCCAUCAUUCCCUCAGCACACCUCUUAAGAUCCUUAUUUAAAUAUUUUUAAACAAAUGCAACUUAAUGAAUUCUCAGGGCGGAAUUAGCAGAGCCCUGUUUAAAAAUGAUAAAUCGAACAGAUCACAAUUUCUUAUAUCUACAUUGCAUUUAUCCUUUUAACACUUUUCUCCAAAGCACCUUACAGUGUUAAUGUACCUAAGGUUAUUUGCCCAUUUAUGCAGCUGAGUAACUUUACUGGACCAACUUAAGGCCAGUAUCUUGCUUAAGAGUAUUACAGCUCUAGGUGGGAUUUUAAGCUGGAAUCUUUGGGUCCAAAGGCAGCAGCUGCAAUCACCACACUACACACUGGCAAUGCUCAUUUAAAUAAAUUUAAAGAAAUCUAAAUAAUUUAAAGAGCU